UACGAAGGGUGCAAACGUUGCUCGGAAUCAUUGGGCGUAAAGCGCACGUAGGCGGCCUCGCAAGUUGGAUGUGAAAUCCCUCGGCUCAACCGAGGACGUGCAUCCAAAACUGCGGGGCUUGAGUACUGAAGAGGAUCGCGGAAUUCCCGGUGUAGCGGUGAAAUGCGCAGAUAUCAGGAAGAACACCCGUGGCGAAGGCGGUUCUCUGGGACGGUACUGACGCUGAGACGCGAAAGCGUGGGGAGCGAACAGG
RNAcentral lists this ribosomal RNA (253 nucleotides) under uncultured bacterium. Its description in RNAcentral is "partial 16S ribosomal RNA". It matches the Rfam family "Bacterial small subunit ribosomal RNA", at positions 524 to 776 of the family's 1533-position model. The record is from RNAcentral.